AUUGAACGCUGGCGGCAGGCCUAACACAUGCAAGUCGAGCGAAGCGCUUUGGUUAGAUUCUUCGGAUGAAGACCUUUGUGACUGAGCGGCGGACGGGUGAGUAACGCGUGGGUAACCUGCCUCAUACAGGGGGAUAACAGUUAGAAAUGACUGCUAAUACCGCAUAAGACCACAGUACCGCAUGGUACAGGGGUAAAAACUCCGGUGGUAUGAGAUGGACCCGCGUCUGAUUAGCUGGUUGGUGGGUAACGCCUACCAAGGCGACGAUCAGUAGCCGGCCUGAGAGGGCGACCGGCCACAUUGGGACUGAGACACGGGCCCAAACUCCUGCGGGAGGCAGCAGUGGGGAAUAUUGCACAAUGGGCGAAAGCCUGAUGCAGCGACGCCGCGUGAGCGAUGAAGUA
RNAcentral lists this ribosomal RNA (404 nucleotides) under uncultured bacterium. RNAcentral describes it as "bacterial SSU rRNA". It matches the Rfam family "Bacterial small subunit ribosomal RNA", at positions 30 to 415 of the family's 1533-position model. The record is from RNAcentral.